UAAGGCAAUGCAAAUAGAGUUUCAGAUGAACCCUUGAUGGGUUGAAGUGCCGUCCCGGUGACUGUCACCGAGGGUCAAGAGAUGGUUUCAGAUGAACCCUUGAUGGGUUCGAGUUCGCCGAUAAGACGAGUGCUGCAAGUCGGAGUGACGGGUUUCACAUGAACCCUUGAUGGGUUGAAGCGCUACUCGUGCAAGGGGUUAUGUGAUGAGAUCGCUAGUUUCCAGACGAACCUUUGUUGGAUUGAAGC
RNAcentral lists this unclassified non-coding RNA (248 nucleotides) under Haloquadratum walsbyi DSM 16790. The record is from RNAcentral. Lineage: Archaea; Methanobacteriati; Methanobacteriota; Halobacteria; Halobacteriales; Haloferacaceae.